GUGGAAGAAGAGCGGGAAGGGGAAGUGGGAGCAGAUGCAGAGUCUGCCUGUUAGGGUUCCUUUUUGGGAGCCUCCUCUCAUACACAGAGGAUAUAAAUAACACGAUAGAAAAUAUGCUUCAGUCAUCCCCUUUUCUGAUCUAGAUUCCCGUUUCAAAAAGAUUUUUUUUUUUUUUUUAAAAACUCUUUAAAACGACUUCUUUUCUCGAAACCCAUUUCAAAACCCUCGAGUUCCUUGAGGAACUCUUUCGCUGCGAUGCGUCUCCGGUCACUGUGACCAUGAGUGACGCCUACUGAGCCGUGUCUCCUCUAUCACCAAGCAGAUAUGACGAGUAGGAUUCCGCGUAAAUGUUUCGAUUCCAGAGUAAAGAGUCUUUUGUUCUCGGCGGAGUUGAAGCGGUGGAGAAAGGACAUUAAAGCUUCACUUUUGGAUUUACAAGUAAGGGAGCGAUUGCCUCCAUAGAUAUUAGAAAGGAUGCCAUCGUCGGACUUUUUGGGAGGAAACCUGUACCGUAAUAUGGAUACCCAACCAAACCAAGAAGGAGAGGUUCAGAAGUGUAUCAGUGCUGCUGCUAAGAAUUCUGGGGAGAUGUUGGUUAAGGACUCUUUACCAGCAACUGUUGAAGUUGAAAAGGUUGAGGAUUGCAUUUCUGGGGAGCUGCUGGAUAAGGAUUCUUUACCAACUGUUGAAGUUGAAAAGGUUGGACAUUGCAUUUCUGAGAAGCUGUAAGCCUUGGUUAAAGAUUCUUUAAGGCUUCCUCCCAAAAAGUCCAGAGCUUGACGAUGACAUUCCUUCAAGUAUCUACGGAGGCCAAUAUUUCCCUUACUUGUGAAUCCAAAAGGAAAGUUUCAAUGUUCCUUUUCCACUGCUCCAACUCCAUAAGAACAAAAGCUCCUUCUCUAGAUCCGGAACUAUUCAUAUGUUGAAUCUUAACUUAUCAUAUGGUGUUUACGGCUUGGUGAUAGAAGAGACUGUGAUGGUAAAAAUUGAGUUACAUAUAUUUGAUUGUGCAUUCCACCGUCACAGCACAGUAGACGUUAUUUAUGGUGGCAGUGAUCAAAUAAACAUCGCAACGAAAGAGUUUCAAGAAACUCGAAGGUUUUGAGAUAAGUUUCGGUGAAGUUGAUGAAAUGAGAAGAUGAUGAAAUGUGAAGAGUAAUUGUUUUAAAGAGUUUUGAGAAAAAAAGUCUUCUUGAAACGGGAAUCAAAAUCGGAAACGGACUGACUCGGCAUAGUUUUUAUCAUGUUAACAAUGUCCUCAGUGUAUAGUUUUUAUCAUGUUAACUAUGUCCUCAGUGUACGGGAGGGGCUCAAGAAGGACAGUUAUCUUUAAUCUACAUUUCCAUCUGCUUCCACUUCCA
Vigna radiata var. radiata (mung bean) is the source of this 1361-nucleotide long non-coding RNA. RefSeq lists it as uncharacterized. The transcript is spliced from 3 exons. Lineage: Eukaryota; Viridiplantae; Streptophyta; Magnoliopsida; Fabales; Fabaceae. The record is from RefSeq and is a predicted model, not a curated record.